RNAcentral lists this transfer RNA (69 nucleotides) under Praslinia cooperi. RNAcentral describes it as "tRNA-Gly". It matches the Rfam family "tRNA". From Rfam's summary of the family: Transfer RNA (tRNA) molecules are approximately 80 nucleotides in length. Their secondary structure includes four short double-helical elements and three loops (D, anti-codon, and T loops). The record is from RNAcentral. Lineage: Eukaryota; Metazoa; Chordata; Amphibia; Gymnophiona; Indotyphlidae.
AUCUUCUUAGUAUAAUUAAUACUAAUGACUUCCAAUCAUUUAACCCAAGUUAAACCCAUGGAGAAGAUA